UAAAGAAUUAGUUAAAAUAUAACAUUAGACUGUCAAGCUAAAAUUAAUAAGCAUAUUAUUCUUUAA
RNAcentral lists this transfer RNA (66 nucleotides) under Melecta chinensis. RNAcentral describes it as "tRNA-Asp". The record is from RNAcentral. Lineage: Eukaryota; Metazoa; Arthropoda; Insecta; Hymenoptera; Apidae.